This 348-nucleotide ribosomal RNA is filed under the name Pseudocercospora macadamiae. RNAcentral's name for it is "eukaryotic LSU rRNA". It matches the Rfam family "Eukaryotic large subunit ribosomal RNA", at positions 132 to 471 of the family's 3401-position model. Lineage: Eukaryota; Fungi; Ascomycota; Dothideomycetes; Mycosphaerellales; Mycosphaerellaceae. The record is from RNAcentral.
UGACGAUCUGGCGCUAGCCAUCCGGGGUAUUUCAGCCUCUAGUGUCGAUCUUGGUGGUAGUCCUGUGUGAAAUUGUUAUCCGCCAUAGAGGGUGAGAAUCCCGAAUGGGACUGGAUUGCACCCUCCACGGAGCUCCUUCGACGAGGAAAGUUGUUUGUUUGUGCAGCUCUAAAUGGGAGGAUAAUUUCUUCUAAAGCUAAAUACCGGCCAGACACCGAUAGCGCACAAGUGCUAGUGAUCGAAAGAUGAAAAGCACUUUGGAAAGAGAGUUAAAAAGCACGUGAAAUUGUUGAGGACUUCCUCCCGCAACCAGACUUUGCGGCAGGUUUCGGCCGGUCUUCUGACCGG